AGGCUAUGUCUUGCCACCCCAGAUGAUUGAGUAAUAUAUAAGCAUGCAUAAUAUAUAUUAUGUGUUUAUAUAUUACUCAAUCAUCUGGGGUGGCAAGACAUAGCCU
Molecule: non-coding RNA, 106 nt
Organism: Pelobates cultripes (western spadefoot toad)
Lineage: Eukaryota; Metazoa; Chordata; Amphibia; Anura; Pelobatidae
Source: the annotation of a GenBank genome assembly